This 537-nucleotide ribosomal RNA is filed under the name Clinocottus analis (woolly sculpin). RNAcentral describes it as "partial 16S ribosomal RNA". The stretch from base 189 to 537 matches the Rfam family "Bacterial large subunit ribosomal RNA", at positions 566 to 1040 of the family's 2925-position model. Lineage: Eukaryota; Metazoa; Chordata; Actinopteri; Perciformes; Cottidae. The record is from RNAcentral.
GCCUAAAAGCUAGCCCCCCCCCCAAACACAACAACUCAACAUUAAUAACCCCUAAAUACCCCCGUAUUCAAAACAAUAAACCAUUUUUCCCCCUCAGUACAGGAGAUAGAAAAGGACCAAAGGCGCAAUAGAGACAGUACCGCAAGGGAACGCUGAAAGAGAAAUGAAACAACCCAGUUAAAGCCCAAAAAAGCAGAGCCUGACUCUCGUACCUUUUGCAUCAUGAUUUAGCAAGUGUACCCCAGGCAAAGCGCACUUUAGUCUGACCCCCCGAAACCUAGUGAGCUACUCCAAGGCAGCCUAUUAACAGGGCCCACCCGUCUCUGUUGCAAAAGAGUGGGGAGAACUUUGAGUAGAGGUGACAAACCUACCGAACUCGGUCAUAGCUGGUUGCCCAAUAAAUGGAUAGAAGUUCAGCCUCCUGGCUUCUCUUUUCACUCUCGGGUCACACCCCUGCUGAUUCACUAAAGAAACCAAGAGAGUUAGUCAAAGGGGGUACAGCCCCUUUGAAUCAAGACACAACUUUGCCAAGCGGGU